CUUUGUGUUCAUGUGCAUUCAAUGUUUAGCUGCCACUUAUAGGUGAGAACAUGUAGUAUUUGGUUUUCUCUUUCGUUUAGCUCAUUUAGGAUAGUGGCCUCCAGCUCUAUCCACGUUCUGACAAAGAAAACCUUGUUGGGAGUUUGAUUAGACGGCUGAGAAAGACAGCAAAUCUACAGGGUUUGUCAAAGAUAAGAUCGUUGUCAUGGCAUGAAAAGGAUGACCUUUCCAGUCUGCAAUACCUGCUUGACCACUAAGACCAAACAGCUCAAAUUAAAGGAUCCCAUGACCGAGACACCUCAUGCCUUCCAGAAGCUGAAGGUGAAAGCUCACUAAGAUUAAACAACUGGGAAAUGUUAAAUGAAAAAGUAUCACAGCUGAGACAAAGCUCCUCAGCCUCAGCAUGUUUGUCAGUGUGCCCAACUGAUGUAGUUUGGCUCUGUGCCCCCAUCCAAUUCUCAUCUUGAAUUGUAAUCCUUAUAAUCUCCACAUGUCAAGGGAGGGACGUGGUGGGAGGUGAUUGGAUCAUGGGGGACAUUUCCCUCAUGCUGUUCUCAUGAUAGUGAGUGAGUUGUCAUGAGUUUUGAUGGUUUCAUGUGUUUGACAGUUCCUCCUUCACACACUCUCUCUCUUCUGCCACCUUAUGAAGAAGGUGCCUGCUUCCCCUUCACAUUCCAUCAUGAUUCUAAGUUUCCUGAGCUCCCCCCCAGCCAUGUGGAACUGUGAGCCAACUGAACUUCUUUCCUUUAUAAAUUACCCAGUCUCAGGCAUUUAUAAUAGUGUG
RNAcentral lists this long non-coding RNA (784 nucleotides) under Homo sapiens (human). RNAcentral's name for it is "non-protein coding lnc-RPP30-6:4". Lineage: Eukaryota; Metazoa; Chordata; Mammalia; Primates; Hominidae. The record is from RNAcentral.